RNAcentral lists this ribosomal RNA (305 nucleotides) under uncultured bacterium. RNAcentral's name for it is "bacterial SSU rRNA". It matches the Rfam family "Bacterial small subunit ribosomal RNA", at positions 337 to 657 of the family's 1533-position model. The record is from RNAcentral.
GCCUACGGGGCGCAGCAGUGGGGGAUAUUGCACAAUGGGGGAAACCCUGAUGCAGCGACGCCGCGUGGGCGAAGAAGUAUUUCGGUAUGUAAAGCCCUAUCAGCAGGGAAGAAGAAAUGACGGUACCUGAGUAAGAAGCACCGGCUAAAUACGUGCCAGCAGCCGCGGUAAUACGUAUGGUGCAAGCGUUAUCCGGAUUUACUGGGUGUAAAGGGAGCGCAGGCGGCACGGCAAGCCUGAUGUGAAAUCCACGGGCUCAACCCGUGAACUGCAUUUGAAACUGUUUCCCUUGAGUGUCGGAGUGG